CAGCACCUCAAGUGGUCAGGAUGAUUAUUGGGCCUAAAGCAUCCGUAGCCGGCUCUGUAAGUUUUCGGUUAAAUCUGUAUGCUCAACAUACAGGCUGCCGGGAAUACUGCAGAGCUAGGGAGUGGGAGAGGUAGACGGUACUCGGUAGGAAGGGGUAAAAUCCUUUGAUCUAUUGAUGACCACCUGUGGCGAAGGCGGUCUACCAGAACACGUCCGACGGUGAGGGAUGAAAGCUGGGGGAGCAAACUGGAUUAGAUACCCGAGUAGUC
This 269-nucleotide ribosomal RNA is filed under the name uncultured archaeon. RNAcentral describes it as "partial 16S ribosomal RNA". It matches the Rfam family "Archaeal small subunit ribosomal RNA", at positions 477 to 746 of the family's 1478-position model. The record is from RNAcentral.